This 409-nucleotide ribosomal RNA is filed under the name uncultured Streptococcus sp. Its description in RNAcentral is "bacterial SSU rRNA". It matches the Rfam family "Bacterial small subunit ribosomal RNA", at positions 971 to 1382 of the family's 1533-position model. Lineage: Bacteria; Bacillati; Bacillota; Bacilli; Lactobacillales; Streptococcaceae. The record is from RNAcentral.
UUACCAGGUCUUGACAUCCCGAUGCUAUUCUAGAGAUAGAAAGUUACUUCGGUACAUCGGUGACAGGUGGUGCAUGGUUGUCGUCAGCUCGUGUCGUGAGAUGUUGGGUUAAGUCCCGCAACGAGCGCAACCCCUAUUGUUAGUUGCCAUCAUUCAGUUGGGCACUCUAGCGAGACUGCCGGUAAUAAACCGGAGGAAGGUGGGGAUGACGUCAAAUCAUCAUGCCCCUUGUGACCUGGGCUACACACGUGCUACAAUGGUUGGUACAACGAGUUGCGAGUCGGUGACGGCGAGCUAAUCUCUUAAAGCCAAUCUCAGUUCGGAUUGUAGGCUGCAACUCGCCUACAUGAAGUCGGAAUCGCUAGUAAUCGCGGAUCAGCACGCCGCGGUGAAUACGUUCCCGGGCCUU